Molecule: unclassified non-coding RNA, 336 nt
Filed under: soil metagenome
Description: partial contains 5.8S ribosomal RNA, internal transcribed spacer 2, and large subunit ribosomal RNA
Rfam family: 5.8S ribosomal RNA (bases 1-120)
Source: RNAcentral
GAUGAAGAACGCAGCGAAAUGCGAUAAGUAGUGUGAAUUGCAGAAUUCAGUGAAUCAUCGAAUCUUUGAACGCACAUUGCGUCCCUUGGUAUUCCAUGGGGCAUGCCUGUUCGAGCGUCAUUUGUACCUUCAAGCUUUGCUUGGUGUUGGGUGUUUGUCUCGCCUUUGCGUGUAGACUCGCCUUAAAAUAAUUGGCAGCCGGCGUAUUGAUUUCGGAGCGCAGUACAUCUCGCGCUUUGCACUCAUAACGACAGCGUCCAAAAGUACAUUUUACACUCUUGACCUCGGAUCAGGUAGGGAUACCCGCUGAACUUAAGCAUAUCAAUAAGCGGAGGA